RNAcentral lists this ribosomal RNA (1470 nucleotides) under Triticum aestivum (bread wheat). RNAcentral describes it as "partial small subunit ribosomal RNA". Lineage: Eukaryota; Viridiplantae; Streptophyta; Magnoliopsida; Poales; Poaceae. The record is from RNAcentral.
AUGGGAAAGAAGUCCCGUCGACGUCGUGUUCCAUCCUCCCGCCACCACCGGCCGUUCGUCGGCUCUUGCGUUCCCUGGGUGAUGCUGGACCGAAUCGCCCACCGCACCAAGGGGGGCGGGGAUCGGGUCGUUCGGGACGAGGUGGCCGACGGCACGCUGUCGGAGAUCUCAUCCACCUGCACGGGCAAGCCCAUCGCCGUCUCCCUCCGGGUCGCGGAGCCCCCGGAGGUGUCCCGCCUCUACCUCCACUGGCCGGACGGGCUCAGGCCGGAGAUGAGGGACGUGAACAGGCCAACCGUCAUCGCGGCGCAUGGCGACUCGAUACUCUUCGAGACGUACGUCCCCCUCGACGCAUGCGGCCUUAGCACCACCAGUUACCCCAUCGACUAUUUCGUCUACACGGCCCCCUCCCGCCCCAAGAUCGGGUCCCCAUCGCUCCUCUGGCGACUACCGACAUGCUUCGAGAACGGCCGGGUGGACGCUGCUAUGACGGAUCACUACUGCAAGCCGUACCUGAGUCGUGAUCAACGGGCAAUGUGGCGCGGAAACAUCGGUCUCCUGUGCCGUGGCGACGGUGGGUUCACGGUGGCGAACCUCGCGGUGGGCGUUCAACAGCCGUGCCUCUGUCUCGGUGAGUUCUCGGUGCUGCACCAUACGCCCGCGGAGACGGAGAUGAAGUGGGAGGUCAAGCAGCUGCCAGCGCCAGUGCCUUGUGACGGCCAUGACGGCCCCCCGAACCUUUUGAUCGGUGGUCGUCCCUGCUCCUGGGAAACUGACAUUGUCAUCCCCUUUGAAUUUGAUGGUCGCCAUUUCUUGUGCUGGGUCGACCUCUAUCUGGGCUUGAUGUUUGUGGACGUCACCGCCAAACAUCCACCGCCGCCGCGUUACGCCCGGUUACCCGUGGAGCUGGAUCAACGUCGUCUCUACAUCGACGCCGGGGCCCCUGACCCAGCCCGCCGCGUCUGCGUCACCGACGCAUGCAUUAUGCAGCUCAUUAGCAUCAACAACGACGCAGGACGCAGCGUGCUCGACCGCUCGUGUUCUGCUUUCAGCAUCUCAACCUGGACCUUAGAGUUAGAGACGAUGCAAUGGCACAAGGUCGUCGCCAUCAGAUCCGACAAAUUCUGGGCCGCUAUUGACACAGACAAGCGUCUUCCACGCCUCCUGCCAGAGUUUCCAACCAUGAGCAUGGUUGAUCCUGAUGAUGUUUGCUUCACGUUGGAGGAUAGGUACCACAAUUUCUGGCUGGUAAACGUCGACAUUAAGAACAAGGUCCUGGGGGCUGUCGCGCUCUACAUCAACGAAGAAGAAGAAGAAGAGGAAGGAUGCACCGCUGGUGUGUUCUAUGGCAACUCCUUUAUCACCAGUCAGUUCACCAGGUACAUGGAUAAGGAUGCUAUCAAAAGUCUUGAAAUGAGCAAGAAAUUGCAGCGAGCAAAACAGGAGCGGGUCAUGGAAAAGAUGGACUAA